CAGUAGCCGCGGGAAUACGUAGGUGGCAAGCGUUGUCCGGAAUUAUUGGGCGUAAAGGGCUCGCAGGCGGUUUCUUAAGUCUGAUGUGAAAGCCCCCGGCUCAACCGGGGAGGGUCAUUGGAAACCGGGAAACUUGAGUGCAGAAGAGGAGAGUGGAAUUCCACGUGUAGCGGUGAAAUGCGUAGAGAUGUGGAGGAACACCAGUGGCGAAGGCGACUCUCUGGUCUGUAACUGACGCUGAGGAGCGAAAGCGUGGGGAGCGAACAGGAUUAGAUACCCCUGUAGUCCCUGUCUCUUAUAC
RNAcentral lists this ribosomal RNA (301 nucleotides) under uncultured bacterium. RNAcentral's name for it is "partial 16S ribosomal RNA". It matches the Rfam family "Bacterial small subunit ribosomal RNA", at positions 509 to 807 of the family's 1533-position model. The record is from RNAcentral.